GUUUGAUCCUGGCUCAGAACGAACGCUGGCGGCAGGCUUAACACAUGCAAGUCGAGCGAGACCUUCGGGUCUAGCGGCGGACGGGUUAGUAACGCGUGGGAACGUGCCCUUUACUACGGAAUAGUCCCGGGAAACUGGGUUUAAUACCGUAUACGCCCUUCGGGGGAAAGAUUUAUCGGUAAAGGAUCGGCCCGCGUUAGAUUAGAUAGUUGGUGGGGUAAUGGCCUACCAAGUCUACGAUCUAUAGCUGGUUUGAGAGGAUGAUCAGCAACACUGGGACUGAGACACGGCCCAGACUCCUACGGGAGGCAGCAGUGGGGAAUCUUAGACAAUGGGCGCAAGCCUGAUCUAGCCAUGCCGCGUGAGUGACGAAGGCCUUAGGGUCGUAAAGCUCUUUCGCCAGGG
Molecule: ribosomal RNA, 405 nt
Filed under: uncultured prokaryote
Description: bacterial SSU rRNA
Rfam family: Bacterial small subunit ribosomal RNA
Source: RNAcentral